RNAcentral lists this ribosomal RNA (232 nucleotides) under uncultured bacterium. Its description in RNAcentral is "partial 16S ribosomal RNA". It matches the Rfam family "Bacterial small subunit ribosomal RNA", at positions 99 to 334 of the family's 1533-position model. The record is from RNAcentral.
CGGACGGGUGAGGAAUGCAUCGGAAUCUGCCUUUUUGUGGGGGAUAACGUAGGGAAACUUACGCUAAUACCGCAUACGUCCUACGGGAGAAAGUGGGGGACCGCAAGGCCUCACGCAGAAAGAUGAGCCGAUGCCGGAUUAGCUAGUUGGCGGGGUAAAGGCCCACCAAGGCGACGAUCCGUAGCUGGUCUGAGAGGAUGAUCAGCCACACUGGAACUGAGACACGGUCCAG